Non-coding RNA from Termitomyces sp. Mi166#008, 95 nucleotides. Lineage: Eukaryota; Fungi; Basidiomycota; Agaricomycetes; Agaricales; Lyophyllaceae. The record is from the annotation of a GenBank genome assembly.
GCCCGCCUAGCUCAAUCGGAUAGAGCGUCAGACUCUUACUUAGCUGUAGAGGCGGGAUUAUCUGAAGGCUGCGAGUUCGACCCUCGCGGUGGGCU